Zingiber officinale is the source of this 241-nucleotide long non-coding RNA. RefSeq lists it as uncharacterized. The record is from RefSeq and is a predicted model, not a curated record. NCBI's taxonomy places the organism in Eukaryota, Viridiplantae, Streptophyta, Magnoliopsida, Zingiberales, Zingiberaceae. The transcript is spliced from 3 exons.
CUUUUCUGUAGUGAUUUGCUCUUCUUAUCUCCCUCCUUUGCUAAUUUGAGCCUGUCACUGUCUUCUUCACCGGGUCAGGAGAGAAAAGAUCAGUGAGAGAAUGAAGCUUCUCCAAAAUCUUGUGCCAGGUUGCAACAAGGUGGCAGGCAAGGCUAUUAUGCUCGAUGAGAUCAUCAACUACGUGCAGUGCUUGCAGUGGCAAGUUGAGGUGAGACCCUUGCUAUAGAUAGCAAUGGAAGAU